ACCAGAAUGGUUCUAUUGGUCCCUCAAACUAUAUAAACAGCAGUUAUUCGAAUGUGGCUGACGGCAUGUACCCUCUGCCAGUUUAUCCCAAUGGCCUGUAUCCAUCUGGUGUAGACGAGGCAUCACAUGUUGAUGAAAGUUCACCAGGGAGUGUCAAUGAACAAGGAUGUUACCAAGGAGAUUCUGGACAUUCUUCCCCAGAUCUAUCCUCCUCACCCAAGCUCCCAAGUGUGGGUUGAGUGUUCUGCUGCAUUAUCGGGCGAGUAAGACACACAAGAUGUCAGUAACCUUGCGAGUAAAUCCUCCCAACUUGCUUUCUUUAGGAAGAAUUUUUGAUCUUCUGCGGGGAUGCUCUUUUCAUCCCCUUCGAUACACAGGUAAAAGGGUCAUCUUACUCCACAGUCAUGGCUCAUGAAUGUACAUUAAAAAUAUGAUGUCUCUUUUUGUGAACUAUAUAGAAAAAUCGUCUGUUCAUUCCUUAGGUGGUAAAAAUAGUCACCUUACACCAGCCUUGUUGAUGGAUGUACAUUAAAAAUUUAUAUCCCAUUUUGUUAACUACAGAAGGAUGCGUUUAGUUGGGAAAGGCGUUUUUACCGGAGAAAAAUGUAGAAAGUCUUCCGUAGCUUAUGGUCCGUUAUCUUUCUUAUUUUUCACCUUUCUCAGAUGAAGAAUACAGGGUAUAGUUAGGAGAUUACUUGUGUUGUAUGCCUUGUGUAGUAUUAGUUCUCUUGAUGGAAUAUAUAUAUAUAUAUAUAUGAUGCAUUAGGUCUUACUGUAUUA
Molecule: non-coding RNA, 780 nt
Organism: Carica papaya (papaya)
Lineage: Eukaryota; Viridiplantae; Streptophyta; Magnoliopsida; Brassicales; Caricaceae
Source: RefSeq, a predicted model, not a curated record